RNAcentral lists this ribosomal RNA (253 nucleotides) under uncultured bacterium. RNAcentral's name for it is "partial 16S ribosomal RNA". It matches the Rfam family "Bacterial small subunit ribosomal RNA", at positions 524 to 776 of the family's 1533-position model. The record is from RNAcentral.
UACGUAGGGUGCAAGCGUUAAUCGGAAUUACUGGGCGUAAAGCGUGCGCAGGCGGUUUUGUAAGUCUGUCGUGAAAGCCCCGGGCUCAACCUGGGAAUUGCGAUGGAGACUGCAAGGCUUGAAUCUGGCAGAGGGGGGUAGAAUUCCACGUGUAGCAGUGAAAUGCGUAGAGAUGUGGAGGAACACCGAUGGCGAAGGCAGCCCCCUGGGUCAAGAUUGACGCUCAUGCACGAAAUCGUGGGGAGCAAACAGG